RNAcentral lists this ribosomal RNA (449 nucleotides) under uncultured bacterium. RNAcentral's name for it is "partial 16S ribosomal RNA". It matches the Rfam family "Bacterial small subunit ribosomal RNA", at positions 29 to 523 of the family's 1533-position model. The record is from RNAcentral.
AACGAACGCUGGCGGUAUGCCUAACACAUGCAAGUCGAACGAGAUCUUCGGGUCUAGUGGCGCACGGGUGCGUAACGCGUGGGAAUCUGCCCUUUGGUUCGGAAUAACAGUUGGAAACGACUGCUAAUACCGGAUGAUGACGAAAGUCCAAAGAUUUAUCGCCAGAGGAUGAGCCCGCGUAGGAUUAGCUAGUUGGUGUGGUAAAGGGGCACCAAGGCGACGAUCCUUAGCUGGUCUGAGAGGAUGAUCAGCCACACUGGGACUGAGACACGGCCCAGACUCCUACGGGAGGCAGCAGUGGGGAAUAUUGGACAAUGGGCGAAAGCCUGAUCCAGCAAUGCCGCGUGAGUGAUGAAGGCCUUAGGGUUGUAAAGCUCUUUUGCCCGGGAUGAUAAUGACAGUACCGGGAGAAUAAGCUCCGGCUAACUCCGCGCCAGCCGCCGCCGUAA